GUUAAGCGAAGAAGAGCGCAGGGUGGAUGCCUUGGCACUAAGAGCCGAUGAAAGACGUGAUAAGCUGCGAAAAGCUUCGGGGAGGAGCAAAUAUCCAUUGAUCCGGAGAUAUCUGAAUGGGGAAACCCGGCGGAGGAACCCUCCGUCAUCCAUACGCCAAUCCAUAACGUAUGGAGGGGAACCCGGUGAACUGAAACAUCUAAGUAGCCGGAGGAAGAGAAAGAAACAUCGAUUCCGGGAGUAGCGGCGAGCGAAACCGGAAGAGCCCAAACCUGGGUGCGUGCAUCCAGGGGUUCGGACUGCAUUUAAGAUUCAGGAUAGCUAGUGGAAUGGCUUUGGGAAAGCCAGCCAGAGAGGGUGAAAGCCCCGUACACGAAAGCUUGAGAGACUGAGCAGGAUCCAGAGUACCACGAGACACGGGAAACCUUGUGGGAAAGAGCGGGGACCACCCCGUAAGGCUAAAUACUACUUAGUGACCGAUAGCGCAUAGUACUGUGAAGGAAAGGUGAAAAGGACCCCGGGAGGGGAGUGAAAGAGAACCUGAAACCCUGUGUUUACAAGCUGUGGAACUACGUUAAGGUAGGACCGCGUACUUUUUGUAGAACGGUCCGGCGAGUUGCGUUUACUGGCGAGGUUAAGGACGGGAAGUCCGGAGCCGGAGGGAAACCAAGUCUUAAUAGGGCGAGAAGUCAGUGGAUGCAGACCCGAAACCGGGUGAUCUACCCAUGUCCAGGUUGAAGCUGCCGUAAGAGGUAGUGGAGGACCGAACGCACAUCCGUUGAAAAGGGUGGCGAUGAGGUGUGGGUAGGGGAGAAAUUCCAAUCGAACCCGGAGAUAGCUGGUUCUCCUCGAAAUAGCUUUAGGGCUAGCCUCGUAUUAGUCUAGUGGAGGUAGAGCACUGAAUUUCCUAGGGGGCGUCAAAGCCUACCGAAGAAUAUCAAACUCCGAAUGCCAUAUAGAUGAUGUACGGGAGUCAGACUGCACGAGAUAAGUUGGGUGGUCAAAAGGGAAAGAGCCCAGACCUCCGGCUAAGGUCCCAAAGUGCGUGUUAAGUGGAAAAGGAUGUGGGAUUUCGAAGACAACCAGGAUGUUGGCUCAGAAGCAGCCAUACAUUCAAAGAGUGCGUAAUAGCUCACUGGUCGAGAGGUCCUGCGCCGAAAAUGUCCGGGGCUGAAACACGACACCGAAGCUGAGGAAUCCUAAGGGAUUGGUAGAGGAGCAUUGCAUACGCGAUGAAGCAGUACCGAAAGGAGCUGUGGAGUGUAUGGAAGAGAGAAUGCCGGAAUGAGUAGCGAGAGGAAGGUGGGAAUCCUUCCGGCCGAAUAUCCAAGGUUUCCAGAGUAAAGCUGAUCUGCUCUGGGUAAGUCGGGGCCUAAGGCCAGGUCGAAAGACGUAGCCGAUGGACAACAGGUUGAGAUUCCUGUACUGCGAUAUGACAGAACUGUGGGGACGCAUGUGGAAAGCAUAAGCACGGAAUGGAAAGCCGUGUACAAGCGAGGUAGGAGUCACGUAGGAAAAACCGCGUGGCAAUCCGAAGACGUGAUGUGGACCGAACUUUCAGUAGGGAAGUAUGUGAGCCAUGUGCCGGGAAAAGCCGCUAUUGUUCAUACCGCACCCGUACCGUAAACCGACACAGGUGGAUGAGGAGAGAAUCCUAAGGCCGACGGAAGAAGCAUUGUUAAGGAACUCGGCAAAAUAGCCCCGUAACUUCGGGAGAAGGGGUGCCUGGAAACAGGCCGCAGAGAAUUGGCCCAAGCAACUGUUUAGCAAAAACACAGGUCUAUGCGAAACCGAAAGGUGAGGUAUAUGGGCUGACGCCUGCCCGGUGCUGGAAGGUUAAGAGGAGAGCUUAGCGCAAGCGAAGGUUUGAAUUUAAGCCCCAGUAAACGGCGGCCGUAACUAUAACGGUCCUAAGGUAGCGAAAUUCCUUGUCGGGUAAGUUCCGACCCGCACGAAAGGCGUAAUGAUUUGGGCGCUGUCUCGACAAUGCAUCCGGUGAAAUUGAAGUACCAGUGAAGAUGCUGGUUACCUGCGCCAGGACGGAAAGACCCCAUGGAGCUUUACUCCAGCUUGACACUGGGAUUCGGUAAUGCAUGUACAGGAUAGGUGGGAGGCAANNNNNNNNNNNNNNNNNNNNNNNNNNNNNNNNNNNNNNNNGCUGUUGGGAUACCACCCUUGCGUUAUUGGGUUUCUAACCUGCCGCCGUUACCCGGCGGGGGGACAAUGUCUGGCGGGGAGUUUGACUGGGGCGGUCGCCUCCGAAAGUGUAUCGGAGGCGCCCAAAGGUUCCCUCAGAAUGGUUGGAAACCAUUCGAAGAGUGCAAAGGCAGAAGGGAGCUUGACUGCGACACCGACGGGUGGAGCAGGUACGAAAGUAGGGCUUAGUGAUCCGGUGGUAUUAAGUGGGAAUGCCAUCGCUCAACGGAUAAAAGCUACCCUGGGGAUAACAGGCUUAUCACUCCCAAGAGUUCACAUCGACGGAGUGGUUUGGCACCUCGAUGUCGGCUCAUCGCAUCCUGGGGCUGUAGUAGGUCCCAAGGGUUGGGCUGUUCGCCCAUUAAAGCGGUACGCGAGCUGGGUUCAGAACGUCGUGAGACAGUUCGGUCCCUAUCCGGCGCGGGCGUAGGAUAUUUGAGAGGAGCUGCCCUUAGUACGAGAGGACCGGGGUGGACUGACCUCUGGUGUACCGGUUGUCAUACCAAUGGCACGGCCGGGUAGCCAAGUCGGGCAGGGAUAAACGCUGAAGGCAUCUAAGCGUGAAGCCCCCCUCAAGAUGAGAUAUCCCAAGACCCCUUGAAGAACACGAGGUAGAUAGGGCAGAGGUGGAAGUGCAGUAAUGCAUGGAGCUGACUGCUACUAAUCGGUCGCAAGCUU
Molecule: ribosomal RNA, 2874 nt
Filed under: human gut metagenome
Description: Bacterial large subunit ribosomal RNA
Rfam family: Bacterial large subunit ribosomal RNA
Source: RNAcentral